Molecule: ribosomal RNA, 236 nt
Filed under: uncultured bacterium
Lineage: Bacteria
Description: partial 16S ribosomal RNA
Rfam family: Bacterial small subunit ribosomal RNA
Source: RNAcentral
CGGGACGGGUGAGUAACGCGUGGGUAACCUGCCUCAUACAGGGGGAUAACAGUUAGAAAUGACUGCUAAUACCGCAUAAGACCACAGCACCGCAUGGUGCAGGGGUAAAAACUCCGGUGGUAUGAGAUGGACCCGCGUCUGAUUAGGUAGUUGGUGAGGUAACGGCCCACCAAGCCGACGAUCAGUAGCCGACCUGAGAGGGUGACCGGCCACAUUGGGACUGAGACACGGCCCAG